GACAGAGGGUGCAAACGUUGCUCGGAAUUACUGGGCGUAAAGCGCGUGUAGGCUGACCGGAAAGUCGGGCGUGAAAUCCCUGGGCUCAACCCAGGAACUGCACUCGAAACUCCCGGUCUUGAGUGGUGGAGAGGGAAGUGGAAUUCCUGGUGUAGAGGUGAAAUUCGUAGAUAUCAGGAGGAACACCAGUGGCGAAGGCGGCUUCCUGGACACCAACUGACGCUGAGGCGCGAAAGCCAGGGGAGCGAACGGG
RNAcentral lists this ribosomal RNA (253 nucleotides) under uncultured bacterium. RNAcentral describes it as "partial 16S ribosomal RNA". It matches the Rfam family "Bacterial small subunit ribosomal RNA", at positions 524 to 776 of the family's 1533-position model. The record is from RNAcentral.